AGCGAACGCUGGCGGCAGGCUUAACACAUGCAAGUCGAGCGGGCGUAGCAAUACGUCAGCGGCAGACGGGUGAGUAUCGCGUGGGAACGUGCCCUUUGGUUCGGAACAACACAGGGAAACUUGUGCUAAUACCGGAUAAGCCCUUACGGGGAAAGAUUUAUCGCCGAAGGAUCGGCCUGCGUCUGAUUAGCUUGUUGGUGAGGUAACGGCUCACCAAGGCUACGAUCAGUAGCUGGUCUGAGAGGAUGAUCAGCCACACUGGGACUGAGACACGGCCCAGACUCCUACGGGAGGCAGCAGUGGGGAAUAUUGGACAAUGGGGGCAACCCUGAUCCAGCCAUGCCGCGUGAGUGAUGAAGGCCCUAGGGUUGUAAAGCUCUUUCGGCGGGGAAGAUAAUGACGGUACCCGCAUAAGAAGCCCCGGCUAACUUCGUGCCAGCCGCCGCCGUAA
RNAcentral lists this ribosomal RNA (451 nucleotides) under uncultured bacterium. Its description in RNAcentral is "partial 16S ribosomal RNA". It matches the Rfam family "Bacterial small subunit ribosomal RNA", at positions 29 to 523 of the family's 1533-position model. The record is from RNAcentral.